AUGUAUUCCACCGGAGGCGUCGCCGUCCGCGGCAAGGCGAAGACGACCAAGUCGAUGUCGCGGUCGUCCAAGGCCGGGCUCCAGUUCCCCGUCGGCCGCAUCACGCGUUACCUCAAGGCCGGCAAUGAGCGUGCUCUGGGGCAUGUGGAGGAAGGGGAAGAGGAAGGAGUAUGGUGGGGAAGGGGAAGGCGGAGGAGGUGUACGAGGCCUCGAUCGACCAGGGCACCACCAGCACCAGGUUCAUCAUCUACGACCGCCACGCCAGCCCCGUCGCCUCCCACCACCUCAAGUUCAAGCAGAACUACCCUGAGGCCGGCAGGGUGA
RNAcentral lists this ribosomal RNA (324 nucleotides) under Triticum aestivum (bread wheat). RNAcentral's name for it is "partial small subunit ribosomal RNA". Lineage: Eukaryota; Viridiplantae; Streptophyta; Magnoliopsida; Poales; Poaceae. The record is from RNAcentral.